This is a non-coding RNA of Hydra vulgaris (swiftwater hydra), 668 nucleotides long. The record is from RefSeq and is a predicted model, not a curated record. NCBI's taxonomy places the organism in Eukaryota, Metazoa, Cnidaria, Hydrozoa, Anthoathecata, Hydridae.
UGAAGGGUAUGUUUCUCAAAACAUAGAAGAUUUGUGGAAGAUUGGAAGAAUAUUAUUACGAAAACUAGGUAGGUUACAGGAUACUAGUUUAUGCACAUGUCCCAUUUGCUGUAUUGCAAAAGAGAAGAGAAGUCAUUGAAAAAUCAAUCUUUCUGAAUUUAUUGAAGAUUUUGCUAAUACGCAGAAGCCCUCAGAUGUAAAUAACGCAUCUUUUUGCACAUAUUGCUGCCAAAAGGUAGGUAAAGGUAUCAGACACUCUUGCACAAAAUCUGAAAUAGUGCAAAAUCUACAUAAGCUCAUUCUUUCUCAAGACUCAAAAAUCUCCCAACAAGUUAUUUCCUCUGUACUAAAAGAUAUGUAUAAAACAUCUGAAAAUAACGAACUAACUGUAGCAACAGGUGGUAAAGCCCUUCAUGUUGCUCUCUACUCUGGAGAUGUGCAUAAACCUAUUUUAGAAAUAUCUUCAGAUAAAUUAUUUGAUAUAAAAAAAGAAAAUGGAUCUUCCCAUGUCAGCAAUAGAUUGUAUAAUGACUGAGAUACGUAAAGAUUUGGGUCGUGGAGGUAUUGAAUCUAAUGCCUCAAAAAUUAUUAAGGAUAAUUCUUUCCAGUUAAAUCAAUUUUAUAAAAACGUUUUAUGCAGCUUUCAACAAACACACAACAAUGGAAAC